RNAcentral lists this long non-coding RNA (1532 nucleotides) under Homo sapiens (human). RNAcentral describes it as "HSALNT0043631". Lineage: Eukaryota; Metazoa; Chordata; Mammalia; Primates; Hominidae. The record is from RNAcentral.
CGCGAGCCACGGGCCUCGCUGCGGGUUCAAGUGCGUCCGGGUUUGGACGUCGCGGCUCCAGGAGUGUGCUCUCUCUCCUGCCCAUCCCCUCCCCGGAGUUCAGCGCAUCCGGGGCCCCGGGGACCCCUCUUCCCGGCCCUCCUGGCCGCGCUGGCCCGCCCGCAUGGGGCCGAGGUUCCUGGCCGACGCGCGAGGGCGCGGGCGGGUACCGGGUUCCCGUUUUUCCCAGGCCCCGAUCCCCGCCCACGCACGAGGCCCCCGGCCCACGCACGAGGCGCCCACGCCCAUCGUGGAGGCUCCGCCUGGAAAAGAAGUCCGACUUCCUCUCCAAGCUGCUCCGAGGGGAAUGGGGAAUCGGCAGGAAAUGACCCGAACUGCCAGCCUGCGCCUUUGCAGCCGGCCCUCGCUUUGCUGAAGACGAGCAGCUCCCACCAAAGUCUUGCCUCCCCUUACCCCGAAAGCCCCGCUCAGGUCAAAGAGCCUAAAAGAAAAGCCCGGGCCGGGCGCGGUGGCUCACGCCUGUAAUCCCAGCACUUUGGGAGGCCGAGGCGGGCGGAUCACGAGGUCAGGAGAUCGAGACCAUCCCGGCUAAAACGGUGAAACCCCGUCUCUACUAAAAAUACAAAAAAUUAGCCGGGCGUAGUGGCGGGCGCCUGUAGUCCCAGCUCCUUGGGAGGCUGAGGCAGGAGAAUGGCGUGAACCCGGGAGGCGGAGCUUGCAGUGAGCCGAGAUCCCGCCACUGCACUCCAGCCUGGGCGACAGAGCGAGACUCCGUCUCAAAAAAAAAAAAAAAAAAAGAAAAGAAAAGCCCGGAGCCAUACACUCACCUGGUUGAAGCCAUAAAGAGUUCAAUAUUUCAAGUGAAAAUCUGCCUGUUCGAAAAGAAAAUAUUCACAAAUGAGCAGUGUAUUAGAAGACAACUGAAUUGCUUCUAAGAAUGGGUCUCACUCUGCCAUCACCCAGGCUGGAGUGUGGUGGCACCAUCAUGGCUCACUGCAGCCUUGAACUCCUGAGCUCAAGUCAUCCUCCCACCUCAGCCUUCCGAGUAGCUGGAACUGCAGGUGUGAGCCACCAUGCCUGGCUGAUUUGUCUUUUUAAAUUUUUUAUAGAGACCGAGUCUCAACUAUAUUGUCCAGGCUGGAAAAGAACUUCUUUCCCUCCAAGUGAUAACCUUUUCCAGACAAGUCAGCUUAAAAACUGACCCAAAGGCCCUGAAGUACACAGUUUUCUUGGAGAAAGAAAAAAAUAAGUGAAAAGGACUUGCUGACUUGCUAAUUCAUUUUGGGGCCUGUGGGUAACAUCAGAAUGGCAAAGCACUUGGGGCUUUUUUCUAAUUUGUAUUUUUUUAAUCUUCUGAGAAAUGACUUUUAUAUGCCAAGAUUCAUUCCAUGAUUAGUUUUUAUGACCAAGUUAUGAACGCUUUUGAAUAUGGGGACCUAGAAUAGAAAUGCUAACCUACCUGCAAGGAGAGCUCUGUGAUUGGCAUCCCCAUCAUGCUGUAACUGACACAAAAUAAACUUAGGGUAAUUGCC